This is a long non-coding RNA of Pieris rapae (cabbage white), 1487 nucleotides long. RefSeq lists it as uncharacterized. Lineage: Eukaryota; Metazoa; Arthropoda; Insecta; Lepidoptera; Pieridae. The transcript is spliced from 3 exons. The record is from RefSeq and is a predicted model, not a curated record.
UCUACUUUGUCGAAAAUGUAUCAUGUCAAUUGUCAACUCAACUAGAAAUGCUGUUGACCAAUCAUAAUUUAAUCUAAUCUAGUCUAACGUUUUACAAUUUCACCUUCUCAAAGUUCGAACUUCGAUCACCGACAAUGAUUUUUCUGUUUAUUAACACAUUUAACACUCGCUCGUGUGGUGACGGAAAACGUCAUGAGGAAAUUGCCACACCUAGAACCAAAAAGUCGCAAGCGUGUAUCAGACAUGCGUAUAGACAGCCCAACCCUAGGGGUUGUAUCCACUGUUCUUUAUAUCUAAAAAAUAGUUUUAGAUUAAAUAAAUUAUAAAUACAUAAAUAUGAAUAAUUUAGUGUAUCUCGCCUAGUAACGAAUUAAACCGUAUGUCGCUAGUGAAACGGCUGAACUGUGAAUUGAACGGCUAAUUAAGGCUAGUUGGCUGUGACGUAUGUAUAUAUAUAUAAAUAAAAUUGUCUUAUUUAGGAGCAUUUGAUUUCUAUAUAUCCGCAGUUCGAAAAAAACUCGUGAGGGGUAGUGGUACCGGUCUUGCAGCACAUUACACAUGGCCCAUGUAUGCAACUUUCCGUUUCUGAUGAGGAUGAUUUCAACAUUACCUAAUAAGAGGUAAUAAAAUCGAUCGCAAUUCUUGGUUAAUUUAUAUUUAGUAUGUAAAUAUGUAUUCUUUUUCAUAUAUAGCCAAAACUUAAAAGAUUUCAUAACCUUAUUACUAUAAUAUUUUAAUGUAUGGCUUCUCUUAAAAAGAACUCUUGUAAAUUGUAUGCACCCAUAACGAUAUUGUGCAGUGUUGGCCUAGUGGCUUCUUCGUGCGACUCUCAUCCCUGAUGUCGUAGGUACGUUCUCCGGCUAUGCACCAAUGUACUUCCUUUUUAUUAUAAUUAUACACAUUCGCUCAAACCGUGAAGGAAAACAUCGUGAGGAGAAUAGCUUGCCAUAGACCCAGACAGUCGACGGCGUGUGUCAGGCACAGGUGGCUGAUCACCUACUUCCCUAAUAGAUUGACAAAUGAUCAUGAAACAUAUACAGAAAUCAGAAGCCCAGAUCGAAGAAGGUUGUAGCGCCACUGACUUUUGUAUAACAUAAUCGUUUUUAAAAAAUAAGGCAGCCAUAACAAUUACAUUUUGAAAAGUGUUCGAUCUUAGUAAUGACCAACUUCAGUGUUGUAUAUUAGAAGAAAUGAGAUACUCAAUAUUAUGAGUAGUAAGGAUAUAUUAUGAGUAGGUACAUAAUUUAUUAUAUAAAACUGUCUUUUAAAUUGUCGUCAUAAUGUUAUCUGACUGUUCGAUUCCAAUUCCAAAUAUCGUUAAUAAUAAAUGCAUUUUAUCGUAAUUUAUAAAUGACUAGGUGUGCGCCCCGGUAUCAUCCGCAUUAAUUUAGAAUCGCCUUGCAGUUACUGCGAAAUUAUUUUGAAAAUAUAUACUUACAUUAAAAUAAAAUGAUAUCAAGGGAAGUUUUGUGCCACAUUAAUAUAUA